ACCGUGUGCCUACAACAAGUCAAAGCCCGUUAAUGGGUGAUGGCGUGCCUUUUGUAGAAUGAACCGGCGAGUUACGAUUGCAUGCGAGGUUAAGUUGAAGAGACGGAGCCGCAGCGAAAGCGAGUCUGAAUAGGGCGUUUGAGUAUGUAGUCGUAGACCCGAAACCAUGUGAUCUACCCAUGUCCAGGUUGAAGGUGCGGUAAAACGCACUGGAGGACCGAACCCACGUACGUUGAAAAGUGCGGGGAUGAGGUGUGGGUAGCGGAGAAAUUCCAAACGAACUUGGAGAUAGCUGGUUCUCUCCGAAAUAGCUUUAGGGCUAGCCUCGGAAUUGAGAAUGAUGGAGGUAGAGCACUGUUUGGACUAGGGGCCCAUCUCGGGUUACCGAAUUCAGAUAAACUCCGAAUGCCAUUCAUUCAUAUCCGGGAGUCAGACUGUGAGUGAUAAGAUCCAUAGUCGAAAGGGAAACAGCCCAGACCACCAGCUAAGGUCCCAAAAUAUAUGUUAAGUGGAAAAGGAUGUGGGGUUGCACAGACAACUAGGAUGUUGGCUUAGAAGCAGCCACCAUUUAAAGAGUGCGUAAUA
RNAcentral lists this ribosomal RNA (585 nucleotides) under Enterococcus faecium. RNAcentral's name for it is "partial 23S ribosomal RNA". It matches the Rfam family "Bacterial large subunit ribosomal RNA", at positions 555 to 1139 of the family's 2925-position model. Lineage: Bacteria; Bacillati; Bacillota; Bacilli; Lactobacillales; Enterococcaceae. The record is from RNAcentral.